RNAcentral lists this transfer RNA (66 nucleotides) under Ciona intestinalis (vase tunicate). RNAcentral describes it as "tRNA (ENSCING00000025214.1)". RNAcentral also lists the same sequence under 1 other name. Lineage: Eukaryota; Metazoa; Chordata; Ascidiacea; Phlebobranchia; Cionidae. The record is from RNAcentral.
CUUAAGAUGUCGGAUAAACGAGCUAUCUUGAUAAGAUAGAUAUACAAUGUAUAAUUGUUCUUAAGC